Molecule: ribosomal RNA, 464 nt
Filed under: uncultured bacterium
Lineage: Bacteria
Description: bacterial SSU rRNA
Rfam family: Bacterial small subunit ribosomal RNA
Source: RNAcentral
CCAGACUCCUACGGGAGGCAGCAGUGAGGAAUAUUGGUCAAUGGGCUUACGCCUGAACCAGCCAAGUCGCGUGAGGGAAGACGGUCCUAUGGAUUGUAAACCUCUUUUGUCGGGGAGCAAAAGACGCCACGCGUGGCGUUCCGAGAGUACCCGAAGAAAAAGCAUCGGCUAACUCCGUGCCAGCAGCCGCGGUAAUACGGAGGAUGCGAGCGUUAUCCGGAUUUAUUGGGUUUAAAGGGAGCGUAGGCGGGUUGUUAAGUCAGUUGUGAAAGUUUGCGGCUCAACCGUAAAAUUGCAGUUGAUACUGGCAUCCUUGAGUACAGUAGAGGUAGGCGGAAUUCGUGGUGUAGCGGUGAAAUGCUUAGAUAUCACGAAGAACUCCGAUUGCGAAGGCAGCCUGCUGGACUGUAACUGACGCUGAUGCUCGAAAGUGUGGGUAUCAAACAGGAUUAGAUACCCCUGUA